CGGGGUGAGUAAUGCUUGGGAAUCUGGCUUAUGGAGGGGGAUAACUACGGGAAACUGUAGCUAAUACCGCGUAAUGUCGAGAGACGAAAGUGCGGGACCGAAAGGCCGCAUGCCAUGAGAUGAGCCCAAGUGGGAUUAGGUAGUUGGUGGGGUAAAGGCCUACCAAGCCUGCGAUCUCUAGCUGGUCUGAGAGGAUGGCCAGCCACACUGGAACUGAGACACGGUCCAG
This 229-nucleotide ribosomal RNA is filed under the name uncultured bacterium. RNAcentral describes it as "partial 16S ribosomal RNA". It matches the Rfam family "Bacterial small subunit ribosomal RNA", at positions 104 to 334 of the family's 1533-position model. The record is from RNAcentral.